AGUGAACGCUGGCGGUAGGCCUAACACAUGCAAGUCGAACGGCAGCACAGUAAGAGCUUGCUCUUACGGGUGGCGAGUGGCGGACGGGUGAGGAAUACAUCGGAAUCUACUUUUUCGUGGGGGAUAUCGUAGGGAAACUUACGCUAAUACCGCAUACGACCUACGGCUGAAAGCAGGGGAUCUUCGGACCUUGCGCGAUUGAAUGAGCCGAUGUCGGAUUAGCUAGUUGGCGGGGUAAAGGCCCACCAAGGCGACGAUCCGUAGCUGGUCUGAGAGGAUGAUCAGCCACACUGGAACUGAGACACGGUCCAGACUCCUACGGGAGGCAGCAGUGGGGAAUAUUGGACAAUGGGCGCAAGCCUGAUCCAGCCAUGCCGCGUGGGUGAAGAAGGCCUUCGGGUUGUAAAGCCCUUUUGUUGGGAAAGAAAAGAAGCAGGUUAAUACCCCGCUGUUCUGACGGUACCCAAAGAAUAAGCACCGGCUAACUUCGUG
RNAcentral lists this ribosomal RNA (492 nucleotides) under uncultured bacterium. RNAcentral's name for it is "partial 16S ribosomal RNA". It matches the Rfam family "Bacterial small subunit ribosomal RNA", at positions 29 to 507 of the family's 1533-position model. The record is from RNAcentral.